GAUGAACGCUAGCUACAGGCUUAACACAUGCAAGUCGAGGGGUAGCAGGGUAGCAAUACAGCUGACGACCGGCGCACGGGUGAGUAACACGUAUCCAACCUUCCCAUUACUCGGGGAUAGCCUUUCGAAAGAAAGAUUAAUACCCGAUAGUACUUUUUCGAGGCAUCUCGUAAAAAGUUAAAGAUUUAUUGGUAAUGGAUGGGGAUGCGUUCCAUUAGAUUGUUGGUGAGGUAACGGCUCACGAAGUCUUCGAUGGAAAGGGGUUCUGAGAGGAAGGUACCUCACAUUGGUGCGACAACACCGACCAAACUCCUACGGGAGGCAGCAGUGAGGAAUAUUGGUCAAUGGUCGAGAGCAUGAACCAGCGAAGUAGCGUGAAGGAUGAAGGUCCUAUGGAUUGUAAACUUCUUUUAUAGUAGAAUAAAGUGAGCCACGUGUGGUUUUUUGUAUGUAUACUAUGAAUAAGGAUCGGCUAACUCCGUGCCAGCCGCCGCCGUAA
RNAcentral lists this ribosomal RNA (499 nucleotides) under uncultured bacterium. Its description in RNAcentral is "partial 16S ribosomal RNA". It matches the Rfam family "Bacterial small subunit ribosomal RNA", at positions 28 to 523 of the family's 1533-position model. The record is from RNAcentral.